UUUAUGGAGAGUUUGAUCCUGGCUCAGGAUGAACGCUGGCGGCGUGCCUAAUACAUGCAAGUCGAGCGAACGGACGAGAAGCUUGCUUCUCUGAUGUUAGCGGCGGACGGGUGAGCAACACGUGGAUAACCUACCUAUAAGACUGGGAUAACUUCGGGAAACCGGAGCUAAUACCGGAUAAUAUUUUGAACCGCAUGGUUCAAAAGUGAAAGACGGUCUUGCUGUCACUUAUAGAUGGAUCCGCGCUGCAUUAGCUAGUUGGUAAGGUAACGGCUUACCAAGGCAACGAUGCAUAGCCGACCUGAGAGGGUGAUCGGCCACACUGGAACUGAGACACGGUCCAGACUCCUACGGGAGGCAGCAGUAGGGAAUCUUCCGCAAUGGGCGAAAGCCUGACGGAGCAACGCCGCGUGAGUGAUGAAGGUCUUCGGAUCGUAAAACUCUGUUAUUAGGGAAGAACAUAUGUGUAAGUAACUGUGCACAUCUUGACGGUACCUAAUCAGAAAGCCACGGCUAACUACGUGCCAGCAGCCGCGGUAAUACGUAGGUGGCAAGCGUUAUCCGGAAUUAUUGGGCGUAAAGCGCGCGUAGGCGGUUUUUUAAGUCUGAUGUGAAAGCCCACGGCUCAACCGUGGAGGGUCAUUGGAAACUGGAAAACUUGAGUGCAGAAGAGGAAAGUGGAAUUCCAUGUGUAGCGGUGAAAUGCGCAGAGAUAUGGAGGAACACCAGUGGCGAAGGCGACUUUCUGGUCUGUAACUGACGCUGAUGUGCGAAAGCGUGGGGAUCAAACAGGAUUAGAUACCCUGGUAGUCCACGCCGUAAACGAUGAGUGCUAAGUGUUAGGGGGUUUCCGCCCCUUAGUGCUGCAGCUAACGCAUUAAGCACUCCGCCUGGGGAGUACGACCGCAAGGUUGAAACUCAAAGGAAUUGACGGGGACCCGCACAAGCGGUGGAGCAUGUGGUUUAAUUCGAAGCAACGCGAAGAACCUUACCAAAUCUUGACAUCCUUUGACAACUCUAGAGAUAGAGCCUUCCCCUUCGGGGGACAAAGUGACAGGUGGUGCAUGGUUGUCGUCAGCUCGUGUCGUGAGAUGUUGGGUUAAGUCCCGCAACGAGCGCAACCCUUAAGCUUAGUUGCCAUCAUUAAGUUGGGCACUCUAAGUUGACUGCCGGUGACAAACCGGAGGAAGGUGGGGAUGACGUCAAAUCAUCAUGCCCCUUAUGAUUUGGGCUACACACGUGCUACAAUGGACAAUACAAAGGGCAGCGAAACCGCGAGGUCAAGCAAAUCCCAUAAAGUUGUUCUCAGUUCGGAUUGUAGUCUGCAACUCGACUACAUGAAGCUGGAAUCGCUAGUAAUCGUAGAUCAGCAUGCUACGGUGAAUACGUUCCCGGGUCUUGUACACACCGCCCGUCACACCACGAGAGUUUGUAACACCCGAAGCCGGUGGAGUAACCUUUUAGGAGCUAGCCGUCGAAGGUGGGACAAAUGAUUGGGGUGAAGUCGUAACAAGGUAGCCGUAUCGGAAGGUGCGGCUGGAUCACCUCCUUUCU
RNAcentral lists this ribosomal RNA (1554 nucleotides) under Staphylococcus aureus. RNAcentral's name for it is "16S ribosomal RNA". It matches the Rfam family "Bacterial small subunit ribosomal RNA". The record is from RNAcentral. Lineage: Bacteria; Bacillati; Bacillota; Bacilli; Caryophanales; Staphylococcaceae.